CGCAAUUCUGAAACGAUAAGAAAGAAACGAAAUUUGUAAAUGAUUUUACAAACGAGUUUCGUAAAGUUUCAUUAUUCUAUGUUAUUAAUAAACAGCGGAUAUUUAUGUAAAUUCAUAUUGUUAUGAACAUAAUUAAGAAGAUGGAACCUAGGUAAUAAAAAUUUUUGUUUCGGUCUUUGAUUUCUAAAAAUUACCCUGUAAAUUGUUUAUUAUUGUAAAUGUAAUAAUAUAUAUUUAUUGUUAUACAUAUUUGAAACAUAGGAAUAAUCGAGCACAAGGUACAGUCUACUGGUGCGUUGCAUGGAUAUUUUCACAGAAUGCGCAUACGGGAAAAUCCGUUAAGUCUAAAUAUACUCUGAUGGUAACACUGUGCCGCAAUAUCCGUUCUCCUCGUUCAGCUAUCAGUACUCAAGAUGCAGUUAUUUUCGUUCGAAAUACACUGUGACUUCGAUCAUUUUAAAAUGUUUGAAUAAUCUACCAGACGUUUAUGAGAGAAGUUAAACAGACUGUUACCCGUAUAGAUCAACAGGUUUAAUAAAGAAACCAAUCGUCCAAA
Molecule: long non-coding RNA, 556 nt
Organism: Bombus terrestris (buff-tailed bumblebee)
Lineage: Eukaryota; Metazoa; Arthropoda; Insecta; Hymenoptera; Apidae
Exons: 2
Source: RefSeq, a predicted model, not a curated record